UCUCCAUCGAUGUGACUUAGUAGCUGACC
Molecule: non-coding RNA, 29 nt
Filed under: Rattus norvegicus (Norway rat)
Lineage: Eukaryota; Metazoa; Chordata; Mammalia; Rodentia; Muridae
Source: RNAcentral